AAGUAAACACGACAACAGGCCAACAUUUUGCUGAAUCGAGUAUGAGGUGAAUGAAAGAGCACUUUUUGUUUUUGGUCCAGAGGCCCGUUUACUCACCAAAAGUCAAGUAAGUGAUCAGACCCGCCCUUCAGUCCAGCUGCUUCCGCUCGUAAUUUGUAUCGACGACUGCUCCAAAAUUUGUUGAGACUCGAUGAGUUUUACUUCCUCUGCAUUCCAAUGGUUUACUUUACUUCCUAGGACGAGUUCACUUGUUCCGUGCCGAUCCUCACGCUGAUAUAGACGCGAUAUGUCAUGAAGUAUACACUGUGAUGGAAAAUUGGUGCUCAAGGCCUCCGAUAAUCGACAGUCUUUAUUAGGGAGGAAAGGAAAAGAUGAAGCUUCAUUAAAAUUGUCUGAAGUAUAAGACAAACCAAGAGGCUAAGAAGAUGGGAAAACUUAACGAUAUAUUCUUCACUUUGAUGACUCGGGGACCGGAACGUAUGUGUACGGGGGCAUCUGAAAAUCACUCUCCAUGUUUUUCAUUAAAUUUAGACAGUAAGAAAAAGCGCGCAUAUAUUUUUCUGAAAUAGUUUGAAGUCGUUUUAAAUGCAAACGAUCAGCAUGAGACGCACGUUUAUGUU
Prosopis cineraria is the source of this 620-nucleotide long non-coding RNA. RefSeq lists it as uncharacterized. Lineage: Eukaryota; Viridiplantae; Streptophyta; Magnoliopsida; Fabales; Fabaceae. The transcript is spliced from 4 exons. The record is from RefSeq and is a predicted model, not a curated record.